UGCAGCGAUCGGUUAGCUGCUCAGAUAGCUGAUGUUUGAAGUUGGUGAGGGAGAUAAAAGUCUCCAACAUCAGCGAUUUUUGCAAUUUGUUCCAGUCACAGGCAGCAUGGGUGUUGCCAUCGUGACCAGUGAACUGAGAUAAGGCGGAGCUUUACCUAGCAUGGCCUUGUAGAUGACCUGGAGCCAGUGGUUCUGGCGACGAAUAUGUAGCGAGGGCCAGCCGACUAGAGCAUACAAGUCGCAGUGGUGGGUAGUAUAAGGUGCUUUAGUGACAAAACGGAUGGCACUGUGAUAAACUGCAUCCAGUUAGCUGAGUAGAGUGUUGGAAGCAAUUUUGUCGAUGACAUCGCCGAAGUCGAGGAUCGGUAGGAUAGUCAGUUUUACUAGGGUAAGCUUGGCAGCGUGAGUGAAGGAGGCUUUGUUGCGGAAUAGAAAGCCGACUCUUGAUUUGAUUUUCGAUUGGAGAUGUUUGAUAUGAGUCUGGAAGGAGAGUUUGCAGUCGAGCCAGACACCUCGGUACUUAUAGGUGUCCACAUAUUCAAGGUCGGAACCAUCCAGUGUGGUGAUGCUAGUCGGGCAUGCGGCUGCGGUAUAAUGCUGAAUGAACACAAACAAUGGUAAAAAACAACCCAGUUUAUUUGAUAUAUUUGUAUCUACCAUAACAAUUGAUCCCUGCAGCAUGUCUGUCUGCCAGAAUCACAUGUUCAAAGACAAUCUUUCAAUUACAGCAAGACAUACUGAAUUUGAAAAGCUUCCCCUUAAGAAAACAAUCAGAUCAGUUUCUAGAGGUCAAAAGACUAUCUGACCAGCAGAGUUCAGGGACAUGGUUCAAUACCCCAGAGUUCCCUUAGUUCCCUGGUGAUGAUUCCCUGUUUGUGUCAUUUAGAGAGUGAAAACCUGGCCUCUGCUCUUAAUCCAGCGUGUAGGAUGAUGAGCAUGGGGUAAAAUAUAUAUUCCACACAUCUAAUCCCACUUGGAAUGAGUAGCUGUGCGAUCAGCCCGGAUGAACUCCAGAUAACGGGACCGCAAAUUGGAAAUGAUACGCAUCGUUAGCUAGCGGAACGUUUCAUAUCCACACUUCAGGAGCCGAUCAAAGGAGGUUAAUUGAAAAUUUCGUUCCGUUUUUCUUUUCCCCCUGCUGUUCCACUGUAAAGCUGAUGUGGUGCUGAAAAGAAGAUGUUAGAUCUACAUGUAUAGCAUCAGCCUGUUGGCUAUGUGUGACUGCAGAGUGAUGAAGACCAGGCUGUAAGAAGCAUAACAACUACAGUGUUAGGUAGAGGCCGUACAGGUUAGACAGUGUGUUAGGUAGAGGCUGUACAGGUUAGACAGUGUGUUAGGUUGAGGCUGUACAGGUUAGACAGUGUGUUAGGUAGAGGCUGUACAGGUUAGACAGUGUGUUAGGUAGAGGCUGUACAGGUUAGACAGUGUGUUAGGUAGAGGCUGUACAGGUUAGACAGUGUGUUAGAGAGAGGCUGUACAGGUUAGACAGUGUGUUAGGUAGAGCUGUACAGGUUAGACAGUGUGUUAGGUAGAGGCUGUACAGGUUAGACAGAGUGUUAGGUAGAGGAGGUACAGGUUAGACAGUGUGUUAGAGAGAGGCUGUACAGGUUAGACAGUGUGUUAGGUAGAGGCUAUACAGGUUAGACAGUGUGUUAGGUAGAGCUGUACAGGUUAGACAGUGUGUUAGGUAGAGGCUGUACAGGUUAGACAGUGUGUUAGGUAGAGGAGGUACAGGUUAGACAGUGUGUUAGGUAGAGGCUGUACAGGUUAGACAGAGUGUUAGGUAGAGGAGGUACAGGUUAGACAGUGUGUUAGAGAGAGGCUGUACAGGUUAGACAGUGUGUUAGGUAGAGGCUAUACAGGUUAGACAGUGUGUUAGGUAGAGCUGUACAGGUUAGACAGUGUGUUAGGUAGAGGCUGUACAGGUUAGACAGUGUGUUAUAGGUAGAGGAGAUACAGGUUAGACAGUGUGUUAGGUAGAGGCUCUUCAGGUUAGACAGUGUGUUAGGUAGAGGCUGUACAGGUUAGACAGUGUGUUAGGUCGAGCUGUAAAGGUUAGACAGCGUGUUAGGUAGAGGCUGUACAGGUUAGACAGUGUGUUAGAGAGAGGCUGUACAUGUUAGACAGUGUGUUGGGUAGAGGGUGUACAGGUUAGACAGUGUGUUAGGUAGAGCUGUACAGGUCAGACAGUGAGUUAGGUAGAACUGUACAGGUUAGACAGUGUGUUAGGUAGAGCUGUACAGGUUAGACAGUGUGUUAGGUAGAGCUGCUCAGGUUAGACAGUGUGUUAGGUAGAGGCUGUACAGGUUAGACAGUGUGUUAGGUAGAGGCUGUACAGGUUAGACAGUGUGUUAGGUAGAGCUGUAUAGGUUAGACAGUGUGUUAGGUAGAGGCUGUAUAGGUUAGAUAGUGUGUUAGGUAGAGCUGUACAGGUUAGACAGUGUGUUAGGUAG
Long non-coding RNA from Oncorhynchus keta (chum salmon), 2453 nucleotides. RefSeq lists it as uncharacterized. The transcript has 3 exons. The record is from RefSeq and is a predicted model, not a curated record. Lineage: Eukaryota; Metazoa; Chordata; Actinopteri; Salmoniformes; Salmonidae.